Non-coding RNA from Pholiota conissans, 90 nucleotides. Lineage: Eukaryota; Fungi; Basidiomycota; Agaricomycetes; Agaricales; Strophariaceae. The record is from the annotation of a GenBank genome assembly.
GGGCACAUGGUGUAGUUGGUUAUCACGCUCGCUUCGCAUUGAUCUCGAUGAGUUUGCGAGAGGUGUUGGGUUCAAUUCCCAAUGUGUCCA